RNAcentral lists this ribosomal RNA (305 nucleotides) under uncultured bacterium. RNAcentral's name for it is "bacterial SSU rRNA". It matches the Rfam family "Bacterial small subunit ribosomal RNA", at positions 335 to 638 of the family's 1533-position model. The record is from RNAcentral.
UUACCUACGGGAGGCAGCAGUGAGGAAUAUUGGUCAAUGGGCGGGAGCCUGAACCAGCCAAGUCGCGUGAGGGAUGACGGCCCUAUGGGUUGUAAACCUCUUUUGCCGGGGAGCAAAGUGCCGCACGUGUGCGGUUUGGAGAGUACCCGGAGAAAAAGCAUCGGCUAACUCCGUGCCAGCAGCCGCGGUAAUACGGAGGAUGCGAGCGUUAUCCGGAUUUAUUGGGUUUAAAGGGUGCGCAGGCGGAGGUGCAAGUCAGCGGUCAAAUUGCGGGGCUCAACCCCGUACUGCCGUUGAAACUGCAU